CAGGCAUCUGCAAGUGUGCCCACACCCAACCACCAACAGCAGAGAUGACCAGGACCUGGAAGAGAAACAGAAGGGUGGGAAGAGAAGAAAUGCCAGCUGACCCAGAGCCCAUCAAUGACAGGACUGUGGCAGGCUCAGCACUGCUGGCAUCCAACCUUCAGAGCAGGGCACUGGCACUCUUCUUCCUGUUAUGCCCGUGUCCACUGUAGUCAGCUGCAAACAAGCUUGCCUCCGA
RNAcentral lists this long non-coding RNA (235 nucleotides) under Homo sapiens (human). Its description in RNAcentral is "HSALNT0042044". Lineage: Eukaryota; Metazoa; Chordata; Mammalia; Primates; Hominidae. The record is from RNAcentral.